CAAAACUCGCCUGGAAAGAUAUAGAUGAGGUGAUUCUUGUUGGUGGUUCAACACGUAUACCAGCUGUGCAGGAGCUUGUAAGGAAGGUGACAGGGAAGGAACCAAAUGUUACAGUUAAUCCUGAUGAAGUUGUUGCCUUGGGGGCUGCAGUUCAGGUGGGUCUAUGAUUUCCAUCUACAGGCUAUGCCCAUUGUGGUGUGACUAUCAUUUUUCUGAAUUGUGAGGGGACAAAGCUUCUUUUGUUUUGUUUUGUUAACUGAUAUAAUGCUUUCUAAAGUUGUUGGUUUUUUUAUUCAUGAGACAGUUUGUGUUACUAUUAUCAUAUCUGACCUGUGAUGCUUUUUAUUUUCCUGAUUCUAGGCUGGUGUAUUAGCUGGUGAUGUCAGUGACAUUGUGCUCUUGGAUGUGACUCCACUGUCAUUGGGUUUGGAGACCCUUGGUGGGGUCAUGACAAAGAUCAUCCCAAGAAACACAACUCUACCUACCUCGAAGUCAGAGGUGUUCUCAACAGCUGCAGAUGGACAGACAAGUGUGGAGAUUAAUGUACUUCAAGGGGAAAGAGAAUUUGUUAGAGAUAACAAAUCUCUUGGGAGCUUCCGUUUGGAUGGUAUCCCGCCUGCGCCACGGGGGG
RNAcentral lists this long non-coding RNA (631 nucleotides) under Prunus persica (peach). RNAcentral's name for it is "long non-coding RNA (PPER_LNC000195)". The record is from RNAcentral. Lineage: Eukaryota; Viridiplantae; Streptophyta; Magnoliopsida; Rosales; Rosaceae.